CCUACGGGUGGCUGCAGUCGAGAAUCAUUCACAAUGGGGGAAACCCUGAUGGUGCGACGCCGCGUGGGGGAAUGAAGGUCUUCGGAUUGUAAACCCCUGUCAUGUGGGAGCAAAUUAAAAAGAUAGUACCACAAGAGGAAGAGACGGCUAACUCUGUGCCAGCAGCCGCGGUAAUACAGAGGUCUCAAGCGUUGUUCGGAAUAACUGGGCGUAAAGCGUGCUUAGGCUGUUUCGUAAGUCGUGUGUGAAAGGCGCGGGCUCAACCCGCGGACGGCACAUGAUACUGCGAGACUAGAGUAAAGGAGAGGGAACCGGAAUUCUCGGUGUAGCAGUGAAAUGCGUAGAUAUCGAGAGGAACACUCGUGGCGAAGGCGGGUUCCUGGACAUUAACUGACGCUGAGGCACGAAGGCCAGGGGAGCGAAAAGGAUUAGAUACCCUUGUAGUC
Molecule: ribosomal RNA, 446 nt
Filed under: uncultured bacterium
Lineage: Bacteria
Description: partial 16S ribosomal RNA
Rfam family: Bacterial small subunit ribosomal RNA
Source: RNAcentral